This 2516-nucleotide unclassified non-coding RNA is filed under the name Hevea brasiliensis (rubber tree). The record is from RNAcentral. Lineage: Eukaryota; Viridiplantae; Streptophyta; Magnoliopsida; Malpighiales; Euphorbiaceae.
UGGUAUCAGAGCCUUAAGAUCAAGGCCCAAAAUGUCUCAUAUUGAAUUAGAGAGAGCUAAAAGAGAGAGAGAGUUAAAAGAAAAAGAGGAAGCCUCAAAGAUAGAAAGUUCUAUCACAGCAGCAGGAACCUUGUUCCCUGAGAAAGAAAGUUCAGUGUCGUUAAAAUAUCCUAUGCUGACAAAAAGUAAUUAUGCAGCAUGGGCUAUAAAGAUGGAGGUUUUUAUGAUGGCUCAAGGAGUAUGGGAUGCUAUUGAGUCACCUGAUCCAAUUGAUAGCCGCAGAGACAAAAUGGCAUUGGCUGCCAUUUACCAAGGUAUAGGGGAAGAUACCUUGCUUCAAUUGGGUGCAAAGAAGACCGCCAAGGAAGCAUGGAAUAUGCUAAAAAUGAUGAACCAGGGGGCUGACAAGGUUAAAGAGGUACGAUCUCAAACGCUUUGGAGAGAGUUCGAAGCAUUGAGAAUGGGGGAUUCCGAAAAUGUUGAUGAUUUCUCAGGAAAGCUUACAAUCAUUGUCAACAAAUUAAGGAAUCUUGGAAAUACUGUAGAAGAAGAAAGGGUAGUGAAAAAAUUGUUGAGAUCAGUCUCAUCCAAGUUCCUACAGAUCGUAUCCGCCAUAGAAGAAUUCAGUGACCUAACCACCAAAUCUGUUGAGGAGGUGAUAGGUUCACUAAAAGCCCAUGAAGAACGCUUACUUAGCUGUGGUGGGAAGUCGGACGAAACACUCCUUCUCACUAGAGCUGAGUGGAAAGCGAGAGAGGAGGCUACAAAGAACAAGAAAGCUUCUGCUAAUUCAAGAGGAGGAAGAAGCGGAGGACGCGGAGGACGCGGUCGUGGUAGAGGAAGACACUGUGGUGAAUCAAGCCGAGGCGGUGAUGAUGAGUCGAAACCACAAAAGAAGAAAUUCGACAAAUCAAAAAUUAAAUGUUACGGCUGCGGAAAGAUGGGACACUUUGCAUCGGAGUGCUUGUCAAAAGAGAAGGAUGAACAAGCCAAUUUGACAGAAACUGAAGAGGUAGAACCGGCUCUUUUAUUAAUUGAGAAUUGUGAGCUGAAUGCUUCGAAGGAAGAAAUUUACAUUGAAGAACCUUCUUUGUUAAUGAUUGAAACCUAUGAAGUUAUUGAAGGGGAAGUAUAUGUAGCUGCAACAGGAGGAAGUCUUAUGAAGGAAGCCGGGUGGUACCUCGAUACUGGAGCCAGUAAUCACAUGGCAGGUGAUAUAAAUUAUUUUUCUGAAAUUGAUCAGUCAAUUUUUGGUAAAGUAAAAUUCGGUGAUGAGUCUGUAAUUAAUAUCCAUGGGUUAGGCUCAGUGUUAUUCCAAUGCAAAAAUGGAGAACACUUAACACUAACAAAUGUAUAUUAUAUACCAAAAUUGAAAAGCAAUAUCAUCAGCCUAGGACAAAUCGAUGAAAAUGGCGGACGUGUGAUUAUUGAAGGAGGAAUUUUGAGGGUGUAUGAUGAUCUAAAUCGGCUCACAAUCAAGGUGAAGAGACAACCUAACAGAUUGUUUGCUGCAAAGCUCCAGGUUGCCGAGAAAGUAUGUUUAAUGACACAUAUGUCAGAUCAGAAUUGGCUAUGGCAUGCAAGAUGUGGGCAUCUGAAUUUCCAAGCAUUGAUGAGAAUGUCAAAACAAAGAAUGGUGGAGGGACUGCCAGAAAUUACACAAACUAAUCAGGUGUGUGAUGGUUGUGUAGUGGGAAAACAACACAGACUGCCAUUCCCACAUACUGCAACAUUUAGAGCAGAGGAACAGCUUGCAUUGAUUCAUGGAGAUCUCUGCGGUCCGAUUUCACCAACAACACCAGGAGGUAACAAAUACUUUAUGCUCUUGGUUGAUGAUUAUUCACGUUUUAUGUGGAUUUUUCUAUUAAAGUGGAAAGGUGAAGCAUUUGAAGUUUUCAAACGGUUCAAGAAAUUGGCCAAAUUUGAAAGUGGAAAAAGAUUAAAGUGCUUCAGAACAGAUCGCGGGGGUGAAUUUAAUUCAUCUGAGUUCAAGAAGUACUGCGAAGAGGAAGGUGUGAAGAGACAUCUCACGGCACCAUUCUCCCCACAACAGAAUGGCAUCGUGGAGAGAAGGAAUCAGAUUGUUCUUGAGAUGGCGAGAUGCAUAAUGAAAAGUAAAUCGGUACCUGCAGAUUUCUGGGGUGAGGCUGUUAAAACUUCAGUUUAUGUGUUAAACAGGUGUUUGACAAAAAGUGUAGAGGGGAUGACACCAUAUCAAGCUUGGUGUAAGAAGAUUCCAAAUAUACACCAUCUUCGUGUAUUUGGGUGUCUUUCUCACAUCAAGGUAACAUCACCUCAUCUCACCAAACUUGAAGACAGGAGUGUAAAAGGAGUGAUGAUUGGAUAUGAGGAAGGAUCAAAAGCCUACCGUCUCUAUGAUCCAGUUAAAAAGAAACUAAUAAUAAGUAGAGAUGUCAUUUUCGAAGAAGAAAAGAGCUGGCCAUGGCAGUCCGAAAAGAAAGAAGAGGAGCUGGAAAAUGUCGAUAUUUUCACUGUAAAAUUAAGAGAUGCAGGGG